This 338-nucleotide unclassified non-coding RNA is filed under the name fungal sp. RNAcentral describes it as "partial internal transcribed spacer region". The stretch from base 1 to 46 matches the Rfam family "Eukaryotic small subunit ribosomal RNA", at positions 1786 to 1831 of the family's 1831-position model. The record is from RNAcentral. Lineage: Eukaryota; Fungi.
AAGUCGUAACAAGGUAACCGUAGGUGAACCUGCGGUUGGAUCAUUAGUGGUUUUUACGUAGCGCUGUUGUAGUGUUUCUGUGUGGUGUUUGUGUGUGGUCUUUGAGUUUGUUGUUGUUUGUCUUUUUGUUUGUCUGUUUUUGUGCAUUGUCUUGUGCAAUGUCUUGUGCAUUGCCUUGUGCAUUGUCUUGUGCAGUGCCUUGUGCGGUGCCUGGCAGUACAAACGAUCGACGGCAACACUCGGACCAGACCCAAGACCUUUACAGACAAUAGACGUCUUUGCUUGCUUUGAUGAAACCAAAUCAAAAACAACUUUUGACAACGGAUCUCUUGGCUCUC